This 2902-nucleotide ribosomal RNA is filed under the name Klebsiella pneumoniae. RNAcentral's name for it is "23S ribosomal RNA". It matches the Rfam family "Bacterial large subunit ribosomal RNA". The record is from RNAcentral. Lineage: Bacteria; Pseudomonadati; Pseudomonadota; Gammaproteobacteria; Enterobacterales; Enterobacteriaceae.
GGUUAAGCGACUAAGCGUACACGGUGGAUGCCCUGGCAGUCAGAGGCGAUGAAGGACGUGCUAAUCUGCGAAAAGCGUCGGUAAGGUGAUAUGAACCGUUAUAACCGGCGAUGUCCGAAUGGGGAAACCCAGUGCAAUUCGUUGCACUAUCGUUAACUGAAUACAUAGGUUAACGAGGCGAACCGGGGGAACUGAAACAUCUAAGUACCCCGAGGAAAAGAAAUCAACCGAGAUUCCCCCAGUAGCGGCGAGCGAACGGGGAGCAGCCCAGAGUCUGAAUCAGCUUGUGUGUUAGUGGAACGGUCUGGAAAGUCCGACGGUACAGGGUGAUAGUCCCGUACACCAAAAUGCACAGGCUGUGAACUCGAAGAGUAGGGCGGGACACGUGGUAUCCUGUCUGAAUAUGGGGGGACCAUCCUCCAAGGCUAAAUACUCCUGACUGACCGAUAGUGAACCAGUACCGUGAGGGAAAGGCGAAAAGAACCCCGGCGAGGGGAGUGAAAAAGAACCUGAAACCGUGUACGUACAAGCAGUGGGAGCACCUUCGGGUGUGACUGCGUACCUUUUGUAUAAUGGGUCAGCGACUUAUAUUCUGUAGCAAGGUUAACCGUAUAGGGGAGCCGCAGGGAAACCGAGUCUUAACUGGGCGUUAAGUUGCAGGGUAUAGACCCGAAACCCGGUGAUCUAGCCAUGGGCAGGUUGAAGGUUGGGUAACACUAACUGGAGGACCGAACCGACUAAUGUUGAAAAAUUAGCGGAUGACUUGUGGCUGGGGGUGAAAGGCCAAUCAAACCGGGAGAUAGCUGGUUCUCCCCGAAAGCUAUUUAGGUAGCGCCUCGUGAACUCAUCUUCGGGGGUAGAGCACUGUUUCGGCUAGGGGGUCAUCCCGACUUACCAACCCGAUGCAAACUACGAAUACCGAAGAAUGUUAUCACGGGAGACACACGGCGGGUGCUAACGUCCGUCGUGAAGAGGGAAACAACCCAGACCGCCAGCUAAGGUCCCAAAGUCAUGGUUAAGUGGGAAACGAUGUGGGAAGGCACAGACAGCCAGGAUGUUGGCUUAGAAGCAGCCAUCAUUUAAAGAAAGCGUAAUAGCUCACUGGUCGAGUCGGCCUGCGCGGAAGAUGUAACGGGGCUAAACCAUGCACCGAAGCUGCGGCAGCGACACUAUGUGUUGUUGGGUAGGGGAGCGUUCUGUAAGCCUGCGAAGGUGUGCUGUGAGGCAUGCUGGAGGUAUCAGAAGUGCGAAUGCUGACAUAAGUAACGAUAAAGCGGGUGAAAAGCCCGCUCGCCGGAAGACCAAGGGUUCCUGUCCAACGUUAAUCGGGGCAGGGUGAGUCGACCCCUAAGGCGAGGCCGAAAGGCGUAGUCGAUGGGAAACAGGUUAAUAUUCCUGUACUUGGUGUUACUGCGAAGGGGGGACGGAGAAGGCUAUGUUAGCCGGGCGACGGUUGUCCCGGUUUAAGCAUGUAGGCUGGUUGUCCAGGCAAAUCCGGAUAAUCAAGGCUGAGGUGUGAUGACGAGGCACUACGGUGCUGAAGUAACAAAUGCCCUGCUUCCAGGAAAAGCCUCUAAGCAUCAGGUAACAUUAAAUCGUACCCCAAACCGACACAGGUGGUCAGGUAGAGAAUACCAAGGCGCUUGAGAGAACUCGGGUGAAGGAACUAGGCAAAAUGGUGCCGUAACUUCGGGAGAAGGCACGCUGGUGUGUAGGUGAAGCCCCUGCGGGUGGAGCUGAGACCAGUCGAAGAUACCAGCUGGCUGCAACUGUUUAUUAAAAACACAGCACUGUGCAAACACGAAAGUGGACGUAUACGGUGUGACGCCUGCCCGGUGCCGGAAGGUUAAUUGAUGGGGUUAUCCGUAAGGAGAAGCUCUUGAUCGAAGCCCCGGUAAACGGCGGCCGUAACUAUAACGGUCCUAAGGUAGCGAAAUUCCUUGUCGGGUAAGUUCCGACCUGCACGAAUGGCGUAAUGAUGGCCAGGCUGUCUCCACCCGAGACUCAGUGAAAUUGAACUCGCUGUGAAGAUGCAGUGUACCCGCGGCAAGACGGAAAGACCCCGUGAACCUUUACUAUAGCUUGACACUGAACAUUGAGCCUUGAUGUGUAGGAUAGGUGGGAGGCUUUGAAGCGUGGACGCCAGUCUGCGUGGAGCCAACCUUGAAAUACCACCCUUUAAUGUUUGAUGUUCUAACGUUGGCCCCUGACCGGGGUUGCGGACAGUGUCUGGUGGGUAGUUUGACUGGGGCGGUCUCCUCCCAAAGCGUAACGGAGGAGCACGAAGGUUAGCUAAUCCUGGUCGGACAUCAGGAGGUUAGUGCAAUGGCAUAAGCUAGCUUGACUGCGAGCGUGACGGCGCGAGCAGGUGCGAAAGCAGGUCAUAGUGAUCCGGUGGUUCUGAAUGGAAGGGCCAUCGCUCAACGGAUAAAAGGUACUCCGGGGAUAACAGGCUGAUACCGCCCAAGAGUUCAUAUCGACGGCGGUGUUUGGCACCUCGAUGUCGGCUCAUCACAUCCUGGGGCUGAAGUAGGUCCCAAGGGUAUGGCUGUUCGCCAUUUAAAGUGGUACGCGAGCUGGGUUUAGAACGUCGUGAGACAGUUCGGUCCCUAUCUGCCGUGGGCGCUGGAGAAUUGAGGGGGGCUGCUCCUAGUACGAGAGGACCGGAGUGGACGCAUCACUGGUGUUCGGGUUGUCAUGCCAAUGGCACUGCCCGGUAGCUAAAUGCGGAAGAGAUAAGUGCUGAAAGCAUCUAAGCACGAAACUUGCCCCGAGAUGAGUUCUCCCUGAGACUAUAAGUCUCCUGAAGGAACGUUGAAGACGACGACGUUGAUAGGCCGGGUGUGUAAGCGCAGCGAUGCGUUGAGCUAACCGGUACUAAUGAACCGUGAGGCUUAACCUU